RNAcentral lists this small nuclear RNA (116 nucleotides) under Castor canadensis (American beaver). The record is from RNAcentral. Lineage: Eukaryota; Metazoa; Chordata; Mammalia; Rodentia; Castoridae.
GUUCUGUCUCACUUUGGCAACACACAACCUAAAAAGAAAUGGGAAUGAGACAGAGACGGUUAGCAUGGUCCCUGCCCAAGGAUCACAUGCAAAUUGGUGAAGCGUUCACUAAAAAA